UGGGGAAUAUUGGACAAUGGGCGAAAGCCUGAUCCAGCCAUGCCGCGUGUGUGAAGAAGGUCUUCGGAUUGUAAAGCACUUUAAGUUGGGAGGAAGGGCAUUAACCUAAUACGUUAGUGUUUUGACGUUACCGACAGAAUAAGCACCGGCUAACUCUGUGCCAGCAGCCGCGGUAAUACAGAGGGUGCAAGCGUUAAUCGGAAUUACUGGGCGUAAAGCGCGCGUAGGUGGUUUGUUAAGUUGGAUGUGAAAUCCCCGGGCUCAACCUGGGAACUGCAUUCAAAACUGACUGACUAGAGUAUGGUAGAGGGUGGUGGAAUUUCCUGUGUAGCGGUGAAAUGCGUAGAUAGAGGAAGGAACACCAGUGGCGAAGGCGACCACCUGGACUAAUACUGACACUGAGGUGCGAAAGCGUGGGGAGCAAACA
This 427-nucleotide ribosomal RNA is filed under the name uncultured bacterium. RNAcentral's name for it is "partial 16S ribosomal RNA". It matches the Rfam family "Bacterial small subunit ribosomal RNA", at positions 355 to 774 of the family's 1533-position model. The record is from RNAcentral.